Molecule: ribosomal RNA, 467 nt
Filed under: uncultured bacterium
Lineage: Bacteria
Description: partial 16S ribosomal RNA
Rfam family: Bacterial small subunit ribosomal RNA (bases 20-332)
Source: RNAcentral
GACGAACGCUGGCGGCGUGCUUAACACAUGCAAGUCGAACGGAAAGGCCCUGCUUUUGUGGGGUGCUCGAGUGGCGAACGGGUGAGUAACACGUGAGUAACCUGCCCUUGACUUUGGGAUAACUUCAGGAAACUGGGGCUAAUACCGGAUAGGAGCUCCUGCUGCAUGGUGGUGGUUGGAAAGUUUCGGCGGUUGGGGAUGUACUCGCGGCUUAUCGGCUUGUUGGUGGGGUAGUGGCUUACCAAGGCUUUGACGGGUAUCCGGACUGGGAGGGUGACCGGCAAAAUGGGAAGGGGGAAAGGGCCAAGAGGCAAAGGGGGGGAAGAAGGGGGGAAAAUGGAAAAAAGGGCGGAAGCGGGAGGAAGAAAGGCCGGGUGGGGAAUGAGGGCAUGGGGGUGGAAAAAGGAUUUGGAGUGGGACGAAGGGGGAGUGAGGGAAAUGGGAAAAGAAGAACGGGCAAACAAGGU